Molecule: transfer RNA, 71 nt
Filed under: Bos taurus (domestic cattle)
Lineage: Eukaryota; Metazoa; Chordata; Mammalia; Artiodactyla; Bovidae
Also listed under: 3 other names
Rfam family: tRNA
About the family: Transfer RNA (tRNA) molecules are approximately 80 nucleotides in length. Their secondary structure includes four short double-helical elements and three loops (D, anti-codon, and T loops).
Source: Rfam by way of RNAcentral
UCCCAGGUGGUUCAGUGGUAAAGAAUUCACUUGCCAAGCAGGAGACUCAGAUUCAAUCCCUGGCUUGGGAA